CCUACGGGUGGCUGCAGUGAGGAAUAUUGGUCAAUGGGCGCAAGCCUGAACCAGCCAAGUCGCGUGAGGGAUGACUGUCCUAUGGAUUGUAAACCUCUUUUGUCGGGGAGCAAGGCCCGCCACGUGUGGCGGGAAGGAGAGUACCCGAAGAAAAAGCAUCGGCUAACUCCGUGCCAGCAGCCGCGGUAAUACGGAGGGUGCUAGCGUUAUCCGGAUUUAUUGGGUUUAGAGGGUGCGUAGGCGGAAGGUUAAGUCAGCGGUCAAAUGUCGGUGCUAAACACCGGUCUGCCGUUGAAACUGGUCGUCUAGAGUGAGCGAGAGGUAUGCGGAAUGCGUGGUGUAGCGGUGAAAUGCAUAGAUAUCACGCAGAACUCCGAUUGCGAAGGCAGCAUACCGGCGAUCAACUGACGCUGAGGCACGAAAGCGAGGGGAUCGAACAGGAUUAGAUACCCUAGUAGUC
RNAcentral lists this ribosomal RNA (460 nucleotides) under uncultured bacterium. Its description in RNAcentral is "partial 16S ribosomal RNA". It matches the Rfam family "Bacterial small subunit ribosomal RNA", at positions 338 to 795 of the family's 1533-position model. The record is from RNAcentral.